This is a non-coding RNA of Paralichthys olivaceus (Japanese flounder), 454 nucleotides long. The record is from RefSeq and is a predicted model, not a curated record. NCBI's taxonomy places the organism in Eukaryota, Metazoa, Chordata, Actinopteri, Pleuronectiformes, Paralichthyidae.
GGUGCCCCACAAAUCAAUGGCUCAGCAGGUCCCAGCAGUGUCAAUGGCAUUCACACCUGCAAAGACCUGACGGAGCUCCAGGUGGCCGUGUCCGACGUGAACGGUCGAUAUGAGACGCUGGGCGGGGAGUUGAAAGAUCGUCUCAGUCGCCAGCAGGCCUCGCUGGAGCUGAGGCAGAAGGCCAGGCAGGGCGCAGAGGAGCUGAAGAGCUGGCUGACAGACAAAGAGCACAGUUUGAGACUGGGACAGACCGCCUCCCCCUCCAAACCUGAGGUGGUACGUGCUCAGGCCCAAGAGAACAAGGCCCUGCUCUCGGAGCUGGCUGAGCAUUCUGGGACGGUGGAGGAGUUGAAGACCACACUGAGGAAGCUUAUUGCUGACAACCCUGAUUCUCCUGAAGCUGACAGCUGGAGACAACAGCUGCAGGAGAUAGGUACGAGCUGCAGAUGGCAAA